UGAAGAAAGCUUGCUUUCUUCAGGCGGCGACCGGCGCACGGGUGAGUAACGCGUAUCGAACCUGCCUCAUACUCAGGAAUAGCCUUGCGAAAGUAAGAUUAAUGCCCGAUGUUAUUAGGAUAUCACAUGAUGUUUUAAUUAAAGAUUUAUCGGUAUGAGAUGGCGAUGCGUCCCAUUAGCUUGUUGGCGGGGUAACGGCCCACCAAGGCAUCGAUGGGUAGGGGUUCUGAGAGGAAGGUCCCCCACAUUGGAACUGAGACACGGUCCAAACUCC
Molecule: ribosomal RNA, 274 nt
Filed under: uncultured Prevotellaceae bacterium
Lineage: Bacteria; Pseudomonadati; Bacteroidota; Bacteroidia; Bacteroidales; Prevotellaceae
Description: partial 16S ribosomal RNA
Rfam family: Bacterial small subunit ribosomal RNA
Source: RNAcentral